RNAcentral lists this unclassified non-coding RNA (336 nucleotides) under soil metagenome. RNAcentral describes it as "partial contains 5.8S ribosomal RNA, internal transcribed spacer 2, and large subunit ribosomal RNA". The stretch from base 1 to 120 matches the Rfam family "5.8S ribosomal RNA", at positions 35 to 154 of the family's 154-position model. The record is from RNAcentral.
GAUGAAGAACGUAGCGAAAUGCGAUAAGUAGUGUGAAUUGCAGAAUUCAGUGAAUCAUCGAAUCUUUGAACGCACAUUGCGCCCCUUGGUAUUCCAUGGGGCAUGCCUGUUCGAGCGUCAUUUGUACCUUCAAGCUCUGCUUGGUGUUGGGUGUUUGUCUCGCCUCUGCGUGUAGACUCGCCUCAAAACAAUUGGCAGCCGGCGUAUUGAUUUCGGAGCGCAGUACAUCUCGCGCUUUGCACUCAUAACGACGACGUCCAAAAGUACAUUUUUACACUCUUGACCUCGGAUCAGGUAGGGAUACCCGCUGAACUUAAGCAUAUCAAUAAGGGAGGA